Hibiscus syriacus is the source of this 345-nucleotide long non-coding RNA. RefSeq lists it as uncharacterized. Lineage: Eukaryota; Viridiplantae; Streptophyta; Magnoliopsida; Malvales; Malvaceae. The record is from RefSeq and is a predicted model, not a curated record. The transcript has 3 exons.
CUCUUGCAAUUCACCACAUGAGUCCAGUACCUGCACAGUUCCAAAUGGAAGUCGAGGUCGUAGCUUACGUUUCUCAGUCGAAGGAGUGUCGGGUGCGUGUACAUGUUUGUGUCAAGCAACGAAAGAAAUAUAACAGAGUUACUAAAUUUACCUGUCCAUAAGCUGUUCUCUAGGAGGAGUUGGAGGAAGAGCUCCACUAAACUUCCCUUUCCAAUCGAUCUCGCCGCCGGCAUACUUGUUGAGCCACCUUCGAAAACCGACCACUAAGGCAUCAGACUUUGUAGGCACAAAACAAAUUUUUUGCCAGUUCGUAGACCCGAUUUCCAUUAUCUUACGCUCCUACAU